GACGAACGCUGGCGGCGUGCUUAACACAUGCGAGUCGAACGGGAUUUAGUAGACAGAAGCCUCGGCUAAAGAUUACUAAUGAGAGUGGCGAACGGGUGAGUAACGCGUGAGCAACCUGCCUAUGACAGUGGGAUAGCCUCGGGAAACCGGGAUUAAUACCGCAUAAAAUCGUAGAAACACAUGUUUUAACGGUCAAAGAUUUAUCGGUCAUAGAUGGGCUCGCGUCUGAUUAGCUAGUUGGUGAGAUAACAGCCCACCAAGGCGACGAUCAGUAGCCGGUCUGAGAGGAUGAACGGCCACAUUGGAACUGAGACACGGUCCAAACUCCUACGGGAGGCAGCAGUGGGGAAUAUUGCACAAUGGGGGAAACCCUGAUGCAGCGACGCCGCGUGAACGAAGAAGGUAUUCGUAUCGUAAAGUUCUGUCCUAUGGGAAGAUAAUGACAGUACCAUAGAAGAAAGCUCCGGCUAAAUACGUG
RNAcentral lists this ribosomal RNA (478 nucleotides) under uncultured bacterium. Its description in RNAcentral is "partial 16S ribosomal RNA". It matches the Rfam family "Bacterial small subunit ribosomal RNA", at positions 28 to 507 of the family's 1533-position model. The record is from RNAcentral.